Molecule: ribosomal RNA, 253 nt
Filed under: uncultured bacterium
Lineage: Bacteria
Description: partial 16S ribosomal RNA
Rfam family: Bacterial small subunit ribosomal RNA
Source: RNAcentral
UACGUAGGGGGCAAGCGUUGUCCGGAUUUAUUGGGCGUAAAGAGCGCGUAGGCGGCCAGAUAGGUCCGUUGUGAAAACUCGAGGCUCAACCUCGAGACGCCGAUGGAAACCAUUUGGCUAGAGUCCGGAAGAGGAGAGUGGAAUUCCUGGUGUAGCGGUGAAAUGCGCAGAUAUCAGGAAGAACACCCGUGGCUAAGGCGGCUCUCUAGUACGGUACUGACGCUGAGACGCGAAAGCGUGGGGAGCGAACAGG